This 265-nucleotide ribosomal RNA is filed under the name uncultured bacterium. RNAcentral's name for it is "partial 16S ribosomal RNA". It matches the Rfam family "Bacterial small subunit ribosomal RNA", at positions 793 to 1055 of the family's 1533-position model. The record is from RNAcentral.
GUCCACGCCGUAAACGAUGGGUACUAGGCGUCGGGGGGAGCGACCCUCCCGGUGCCGUCGCUAACGCAGUAAGUACCCCGCCUGGGGAGUACGGUCGCAAGACUGAAACUCAAAGGAAUUGACGGGGGCCCGCACAAGCGGUGGAGCAUGUGGUUUAAUUCGAAGCAACGCGAAGAACCUUACCUGGGCUUGACAUGCUGGUGAAAGCCGGUGGAAACAUCGGCCCCUCUUCGGAGCACCAGCACAGGUGCUGCAUGGCUGUCGU